Molecule: microRNA precursor, 206 nt
Filed under: Oryza brachyantha (malo sina)
Lineage: Eukaryota; Viridiplantae; Streptophyta; Magnoliopsida; Poales; Poaceae
Description: MIR812 microRNA precursor family
Rfam family: MIR812 microRNA precursor family
Source: Rfam by way of RNAcentral
AAUAAAGUCAUUUUUUAGUUUUUAGAUUUAAUAUUUUGACUCUUCGUCUUAUUUGAAUUUUUUUUGCUAUUAAUAUUUUUAUUGUUACUAGAUGAUAAAUAUGAAUAAUACUUUAUGCUAACUAAUUUUUUUAAGGUUUGUGCAAAAUUUUUAAAUAAGACGAAUUAUGAAAGCAUUAAAGACGGAAAUCGAAAAAUGAUGUUAUU